AAUCAACGCUGGCGGCGCGCUUAACACAUGCAAGUCGCACGAGAAAGUGGAGCAAUCCAUGAGUACAGUGGCGUACGGGUGAGUAACACGUGGGUAAUCUACCUCUUAGUGGGGAAUAACUCUGGGAAACCGGAGCUAAUACCGCAUAAGCCUGGAAAGGGAAAGCAGCAAUGCGCUGAGAGAGGAGCCCGCGGCCGAUUAGCUAGUUGGUAGGGUAAAAGCCUACCAAGGCAAUGAUCGGUAGCCGGCCUGAGAGGGCACACGGCCACACUGGCACUGAAACACGGGCCAGACUCCUACGGGAGGCAGCAGUGGGGAAUCUUGCACAAUGGGGGCGAACCCUGAUGCAGCGACGCCGCGUGAGCGAUGAAGCCCUUCGGGGUGUAAAGCUCUUUCGGCGAGGAACGAUAAUGACGGUACCUGAAGAAGAAGCUGCGGCUAACUACGUG
Molecule: ribosomal RNA, 449 nt
Filed under: uncultured bacterium
Lineage: Bacteria
Description: bacterial SSU rRNA
Rfam family: Bacterial small subunit ribosomal RNA
Source: RNAcentral